This 257-nucleotide ribosomal RNA is filed under the name uncultured bacterium. RNAcentral's name for it is "partial 16S ribosomal RNA". It matches the Rfam family "Bacterial small subunit ribosomal RNA", at positions 524 to 776 of the family's 1533-position model. The record is from RNAcentral.
GACAGAGGAUGCAAGCGUUAUCCGGAAUGAUUGGGCGUAAAGCGUCUGUAGGUGGCUUUUUAAGUCCGCCGUCAAAUCCCAGGGCUUCAACCCUGGACAGGCGGUGGAAACUACCAAGCUGGAGUACGGUAGGGGCAGAGGGAAUUUCCGGUGGAGCGGGUGAAAUGCGGUAGAGAUCGGAAAGAACACCAACGGGCGAAAGCACUCUGCUGGGCCGACACUGACACUGAGAGACGAAAGCUAGGGGAGCGAAUGGG